AGAUGUGAGGGUGAUCUGGUUGUGAUAUCUGUUACCCCAUUGAUUGUCAAUGGGGUUGAUUCAGCUGAUAUGUCUGGUUAGACAGGAGCUACCUUCUUCCCCCACCACUCCAUAUGGAUCCCUCCAGAAGCUACACAAUGGGUCAAAAAGGAUGACCUUCCUCAAUAGAGGAUCAUUGUUUAGUCCAGGGUAUGGGAGGAGUUGUGCUCCCCUGCUAGAACCUCCAAACAUGCUCUCAAGGUCCAUUUGUAGAACGUAGGGUAGCUAAGCUUCCAAAACUCCAGACACAUCCAAAUGAGGUGUUGCAUGUGGCAGUCUUUCCUU
RNAcentral lists this small nuclear RNA (324 nucleotides) under Ailuropoda melanoleuca (giant panda). Its description in RNAcentral is "7SK RNA". It matches the Rfam family "7SK RNA". From Rfam's summary of the family: 7SK was discovered as an abundant small nuclear RNA in the mid-70s but a possible function has only recently been suggested. Two independent studies have found that 7SK RNA binds the CDK9/cyclin T complex (known as elongation factor P-TEFb). P-TEFb activates transcription by phosphorylating the C-terminal domain of RNA polymerase II. Lineage: Eukaryota; Metazoa; Chordata; Mammalia; Carnivora; Ursidae. The record is from Rfam by way of RNAcentral.